CGGGGGGAGGAGUGGCGGGGGAGGACGCCCCCGCCCCCGCCCCCCGCCCCCCCCGCCCCGGGGGCCGGUUGCAGCCCGGCUGCGUGUGCGGAGGCGCAGGAAGGGGCUGGGACAAGGCUGAGCCGCCGAGCGGUGGGAGGGGGCGGCGGCGGCAGCGGCGCUGGGGACACCCCCCCCUUCACCCCCACCCCCCCACCCUGCACCCAGAGCUCGGCGGGGCGGUGGGCACCGAGACAGGGGAGGUAUGGGGUGGACGAGCAAGGAGAAGAACCCCGAGAAGGCCGUGGUGAAGGUGGAGCAAGGCGCGGGGGCGGUGGAAGGCGCUGCUGAAGAUGAGGAGGCAACGCGGGACGAAGGCUCCUGGGAGAUGCUCCCCCAGGGGGGAUGGUCUCCCUUGGGUGAUGGUCACCUGAGCAUGGUGCCCCCUGCAUGGGCGAUGGUCUGUGUUGGAGGGGGCUCUGCCGGAGGGAGACACCAUGGGGCAGGGUUGAACAGGCUGCGCUCUUAAACAGAA
Phalacrocorax carbo (great cormorant) is the source of this 514-nucleotide non-coding RNA. The record is from RefSeq and is a predicted model, not a curated record. NCBI's taxonomy places the organism in Eukaryota, Metazoa, Chordata, Aves, Suliformes, Phalacrocoracidae.